AGGGAAAUAGCUCAGUGGUAGAGCGCGUGCUUAGCAUGCACAAGGUCCUGGGUUCAAUCUCCAGGACCUCUG
Molecule: transfer RNA, 72 nt
Filed under: Camelus bactrianus (Bactrian camel)
Lineage: Eukaryota; Metazoa; Chordata; Mammalia; Artiodactyla; Camelidae
Also listed under: 2 other names
Rfam family: tRNA
About the family: Transfer RNA (tRNA) molecules are approximately 80 nucleotides in length. Their secondary structure includes four short double-helical elements and three loops (D, anti-codon, and T loops).
Source: Rfam by way of RNAcentral